Molecule: ribosomal RNA, 745 nt
Filed under: Pseudoalteromonas sp.
Lineage: Bacteria; Pseudomonadati; Pseudomonadota; Gammaproteobacteria; Alteromonadales; Pseudoalteromonadaceae
Description: bacterial SSU rRNA
Rfam family: Bacterial small subunit ribosomal RNA
Source: RNAcentral
CAGUCGAGCGGUAACAGAGAGUAGCUUGCUUCUUUGCUGACGAGCGGCGGACGGGUGAGUAAUGCUUGGGAACAUGCCUUGAGGUGGGGGACAACAGUUGGAAACGACUGCUAAUACCGCAUAAUGUCUACGGACCAAAGGGGGCUUCGGCUCUCGCCUUUAGAUUGGCCCAAGUGGGAUUAGCUAGUUGGUGAGGUAAUGGCUCACCAAGGCGACGAUCCCUAGCUGGUUUGAGAGGAUGAUCAGCCACACUGGGACUGAGACACGGCCCAGACUCCUACGGGAGGCAGCAGUGGGGAAUAUUGCACAAUGGGCGCAAGCCUGAUGCAGCCAUGCCGCGUGUGUGAAGAAGGCCUUCGGGUUGUAAAGCACUUUCAGUCAGGAGGAAAGGUUGGUGGUUAAUACCUGCUAGGUGUGACGUUACUGACAGAAGAAGCACCGGCUAACUCCGUGCCAGCAGCCGCGGUAAUACGGAGGGUGCGAGCGUUAAUCGGAAUUACUGGGCGUAAAGCGUACGCAGGCGGUUUGUUAAGCGAGAUGUGAAAGCCCCGGGCUCAACCUGGGAACUGCAUUUCGAACUGGCAAACUAGAGUGUGAUAGAGGGUGGUAGAAUUUCAGGUGUAGCGGUGAAAUGCGUAGAGAUCUGAAGGAAUACCGAUGGCGAAGGCGGCCACCUGGGUCAACACUGACGCUCAUGUACGAAAGCGUGGGAGCAAACGGGAUUAGAUACCCCGGUAGUCCACGC